Long non-coding RNA from Apis florea (little honeybee), 469 nucleotides. The record is from RefSeq and is a predicted model, not a curated record. NCBI's taxonomy places the organism in Eukaryota, Metazoa, Arthropoda, Insecta, Hymenoptera, Apidae.
CUCGGAAGAGAUAUUUCCCCAUGUCGGUCAACGCAGCUGCCGAAUCGAUUGCAUCUCGACCGACGCGAUUUCUUUCUAAAUAAGGCGUAGCAUCUCUGCCCUGAAUGAUAUCGUUUCAGGAGCCGAGACAACCACGUCUGUCUGGUUAACAGCCUAAUAAAGAUAACUCGUGGUUGGUUGAAGCGGUUUCGUUGGACCUCUAUCGGGAACUCUUGAUGGGUAGAUAGUACGAAAAUGCAGUCAAAGGAGAUCGAGAAGAUAUUGCGUCACCGAACUAAAUCAUUCGUUAAUGGAAAUUGCAUUCGCAUAAAAAAAUAUAGCAGUUGCGGUUGAUUGCGGUGAUCAGUCGUUUCCUCGAAAAGAAAUUCGUAACGCCGAUAAACAGAGAUCUUGGAAAGAGAUCUCGGUGACUCCAUUGAUCAUUGCAUAAGAUAGAAGAUCGAAUGGCCUGAAUUGAGAUAACUAAUAA